ACAUUACACAAAUAUGAAGGCGGGCUGGAACCUCUCGGGGUUACAGCCUUGCUGAAUUAUUCACCCUUGUCUUUUGCGUACUUCUUGUUUCCUUGGUGGGUUCGCCCACCACUAGGACAACCAUAAACCUUUUGUAAUUGCAAUCAGCGUCAGUAACAAAUUAAUAAUUACAACUUUCAACAACGGAUCUCUUGGUUCUGGCAUCGAUGAAGAACGCAGCGAAAUGCGAUAAGUAGUGUGAAUUGCAGAAUUCAGUGAAUCAUCGAAUCUUUGAACGCACAUUGCGCCCUUUGGUAUUCCAAAGGGCAUGCCUGUUCGAGCGUCAUUUGUACCCUCAAGCUUUGCUUGGUGUUGGGCGUCUUGUCUCUAGCUUUGCUGGAGACUCGCCUUAAAGUAAUUGGCAGCCGGCCUACUGGUUUCGGAGCGCAGCACAAGUCGCACUCUCUAUCAGCAAAGGUCUAGCAUCCAUUAAGCCUUUUUUUCAACUUUUGACCUCGGAUCAGGUAGGGAUACCCGCUGAACUUAAGCAUAUCAAUAAGCGGAGGAAAAAAACC
This 554-nucleotide small RNA is filed under the name Alternaria compacta. RNAcentral's name for it is "eukaryotic LSU rRNA". The stretch from base 172 to 325 matches the Rfam family "5.8S ribosomal RNA". Lineage: Eukaryota; Fungi; Ascomycota; Dothideomycetes; Pleosporales; Pleosporaceae. The record is from RNAcentral.